RNAcentral lists this ribosomal RNA (253 nucleotides) under uncultured bacterium. RNAcentral's name for it is "partial 16S ribosomal RNA". It matches the Rfam family "Bacterial small subunit ribosomal RNA", at positions 524 to 776 of the family's 1533-position model. The record is from RNAcentral.
UACGGGGGGGGCAAGCGUUGUUCGGAAUUACUGGGCGUAAAGGGCUCGUAGGCGGCCAACUAAGUCAGACGUGAAAUCCCUCGGCUUAACCGGGGAACUGCAUCUGAUACUGGAUGGCUUGAGUUCGGGAGAGGGAUGCGGAAUUCCAGGUGUAGCGGUGAAAUGCGUAGAUAUCUGGAGGAACACCGGUGGCGAAGGCGGCAUCCUGGGCCGACACUGACGCUGAGGAGCGAAAGCCAGGGGAGCAAACAGG